Molecule: ribosomal RNA, 468 nt
Filed under: uncultured bacterium
Lineage: Bacteria
Description: partial 16S ribosomal RNA
Rfam family: Bacterial small subunit ribosomal RNA
Source: RNAcentral
GACGAACGCUGGCGGCGUGCUUAACACAUGCAAGUCGAACGGAAAGGCCCUGCUUUUGUGGGGUGCUCGAGUGGCGAACGGGUGAGUAACACGUGAGUAACCUGCCCUUGACUUUGGGAUAACUUCAGGAAACUGGGGCUAAUACCGGAUAGGAGCUCCUGCUGCAUGGUGGGGGUUGGAAAGUUUCGGCGGUUGGGGAUGGACUCGCGGCUUAUCAGCUUGUUGGUGGGGUAGUGGCUUACCAAGGCUUUGACGGGUAGCCGGCCUGAGAGGGUGACCGGCCACAUUGGGACUGAGAUACGGCCCAGACGCCUACGGGAGGCAGCAGCGGGGAAUAUUGCACAAUGGGCGGAAGCCUGAUGCAGCAACGCCGCGUGCGGGAUGACGGCCUUCGGGUUGUAAACCGCUUUCGCCUGUGACGAAGCGUGAGUGACGGUAAUGGGUAAAGAAGCACCGGCUAACUACGUG